RNAcentral lists this long non-coding RNA (2353 nucleotides) under Marmota monax (woodchuck). Lineage: Eukaryota; Metazoa; Chordata; Mammalia; Rodentia; Sciuridae. The record is from RNAcentral.
GGGCUCCAGCAGUUUCCAGGCUCCCCUCGGCGGGGCUGAAUGAUCAAAACUGGUGGUGAGAAUUUUUCCGGGCCGUUUCUAGGCAGCCCUCCCCCUCCACCAGCUCGGGCCCCCCCUUCCUCCUUCUCCUCCCUUUUCCUCCCCCCUCCUCCAGCGUCUGGGCUGAGUGAUCAAAAUAGAGGAAGAUGGUUGUCGCCGCAAUCCAGGGCUUUGCAAGGCGCGGUUUAAUGGGCCGGCUGUCAGCUUCCUGCUCGCAGGAGGAGGUGACAAGCCGAGCGAGCCGGGAAGGGCCUGGGGCCCGGCGGACUGCACCCAGUGCCCACGCCCCGGCCCCCCACCUCCCCUGGGUGCGCCUCUAGAACGCGCGGUGGAGACGCCAAAACAGACAAGGGCUGCUUUUUCUUUUUUCUUUCUUUUUUUUUUUUUCCUUUUCCUUCCUUUUAAAACAAAGCAGCGAUUCAUUCCCUCUCCCCCAGGAGCGCAGUCGGGUGGGAUGGGCAGGCGAGAAGGCCGUUUUCCUUGUCCCGGCCUGCGGGUCCCUCCCUGAAAAGCAGUGUCAGAUGGUUACUGAUUAAUAUUUUGGAGAGGCCGCGGCGGCGGGCAGCGGGUGAGUCUAAUCUCCUAAAGGGGGUUCCUAUAGAAACGCGCGCGGGCCAGGGCGCGCCCCCUUCUUGGCCCCGGCCGGGGCUGCGGUGCUUCUGCAACGCGAGCCCCUCCCCGAAGCCCCUCUUGGCGUGGGCGGUCCCCUCCCCCUUCCCCCCCAAAAAAAAUCAGAGCAGAAAAAAGGAUUAGAUCGGCUGAGCGCAAGCUGAAUCCCUCUCGAUUCUGACAUUUCAGCCUAUUAGCAUUUCUCCACGGGGCCUUCUGAAACCUAUUAAAGUGUAAUAUUAAAAACCUCUUGGCUGGGGGCCUCUCUCGCCUUCCAUCCGCCGCGCCCCCUCCAGGGAGGGCGAGACCGGGGGAAAAAAAAAAUCUGUUGAGCUCAGAGGAAGCAGCAGCCAAGCCCAAAAGUGCUUGGCUGGCCACGGCGGCCAGAGGGGGAGGGGAGCCCCAAUCCCCCAGACUUUGUACUUUAUUUUGCGCUUUCAGCAAAAUCCUUUCUGGGUUGAGUAGCCGGGAGCUGCCAGCGGCAAACCUAUCUGGCUAGAGGCGCAGGGAAUGCGGACCCUGCCGGAGGGACAGUCCUAGGGGCCCCGCACCCUCUCCGCAGCCCCGGCAGGCACCCGAGUCCAGCUAGGCAUUACGUACCCUCGAAAGGAAGCUUGAAGGGGCAGAAAUCCUGCUGAUCCUGCCUCGGAGAGCAACCGUGGUGAUAGGAUUUUAAUUAAAACAAGAGAAGCCCGCUCUUUCGCCCCGCGCUGCGGACUCAGCGUUUUCGCAUUGAUCCUAUUUUUUUUUAAUCCAUUUUUAAGGCAACUUUUCUGGAGGGGGGGGAAAUGAGCUAGUUAGCGCCCAUUCGUUCUAUUUUCUUUUCUCCACUUUUAGAAAAAAGGGGGAAGGGUUCGAGAGCGAACUGGGGGUGUCUAAUUUAAUUCCAGGAUAAAUUUGAGGAAAAAAGUUCGGCCUCAGGAGGGCAGUUUCAAGUUGCCCUUCUUGGAUCCUCCUGCGCUGGUUUCUAGGCUGCCCUCUUUUGGAAGCUGGAGCUCCGCGGGGGAGGAGGGAGGAGUGAAGAGAGAAAGGAACGAAAAUAGCCGGAGCCAAGGGGAACAAGCUGCGGUGUCCGCGCUUGGAGCUGGGCGCGCGGGUCUCAGUGGCAACCGGGGCGGCGGGAGAUGCCCGGUGCAGCCCCAGGACGGCCAGAAGCAAAGACCGAAAGGAGAGGGGGGUUAGAGAAAGGAGGUAUUGUGUCUGUGUGCCUUAGGGGAGGGGGGCGACUGCAGAAAUAAAAUAAAUGCAGUUGAGCUGCGCGGGACUGCUGGAAGCCAGAGCAAGGGAAGGGGCCGUGUGUGGGGGCGCCCAGCGCCCUUGAGUCUUAUCCUGAGGCCUUUGUGGGUUCCCAGUAAGCCCUCCCACGCCCGAGUCCCCAGCGCUUCCCCCGCCCCCAUCGCCCUCCAAUAUUAGGAGUGCAGGCCCUGAUUCCCCCACCCUCUUAGCCCGCCCGGGAUCUGGAAUGGUUUUAUUUUAAUAUAGCUCAAGAAAAAAAUACGUAUCUUGCGAGAGUUGGGGUGGGGAAUAAUACAAAAGACUUGCGGGGUGGAAAAAAACAAAGGCCUAUUUUUAUAAAUGUUUAAUGUUUUCACCCCUGGAUGCUCCAAGACGCCGUAAUUGUGACGGCGGGGUAUGUGUGCCAUAAAUCAUUUAGUUGCUAAUAAAAAUUCUGCCUGUUUGCCCUGGAUUUGCCAAUGGCGUUUGC